CAGCAGCCACGGGAAUACGAAGGGGGCUAGCGUUGCUCGGAUUUACUGGGCGUAAAGGGUGCGUAGGCGGAUUGUUAAGUCAGGGGUGAAAUCCCGAGGCUCAACCUCGGAACUGCCUUUGAUACUGGCGAUCUUGAGUCCGGGAGAGGUGAGUGGAACUGCGAGUGUAGAGGUGAAAUUCGUAGAUAUUCGCAAGAACACCGGUGGCGAAGGCGGCUCACUGGCCCGGAACUGACGCUGAGGCACGAAAGCGUGGGGAGCAAACAGGAUUAGAGACCCCGGUAGUCCCUGUCUCUUAUAC
RNAcentral lists this ribosomal RNA (301 nucleotides) under uncultured bacterium. RNAcentral describes it as "partial 16S ribosomal RNA". It matches the Rfam family "Bacterial small subunit ribosomal RNA", at positions 509 to 807 of the family's 1533-position model. The record is from RNAcentral.